AGUGAAGGUUGGCGGUAGCCUUAAAAAUUGAAAGUCGACCGGCAGCUAAUUAAGACUUGCCUUUACCGGUUGCUGUGGGCUGGAUGGGUGAGAAUAAAACCGGAUCUUCUUUUUUGUUGGGGGAAACGGAAGGGAACUUUCCGCAAAACCCCAAACGUCCUAUUGGUUGAAACAAGUGAUCUUCUGUACUUUGCGGUUUGUAUUGAGCGAUGGGGGAUUUGGUAGUUGGCGGGGUAAAGGCCCACCAAGGCGACGAUCCGUAGCUGAUCUGAGAGGAUGAUCAGCCACACUGGAACUGAGACACGGUCCAGACUCCUACGGGAGGCAGCAGUGGGGAAUAUUGGACAAUGGGCGCAAGCCUGAUCCAGCCAUACCGCGUGGGUGAAGAAGGCCUUCGGGUUGUAAAGCCCUUUUGUUGGGAAAGAAAAGCAGCAGGUUAAUACCCCGCUGUUCUGACGGUACCCAAAGAAUAAGCACCGGCUAACUUCGUG
Molecule: ribosomal RNA, 491 nt
Filed under: uncultured bacterium
Lineage: Bacteria
Description: partial 16S ribosomal RNA
Rfam family: Bacterial small subunit ribosomal RNA
Source: RNAcentral